RNAcentral lists this small nuclear RNA (150 nucleotides) under Myotis brandtii (Brandt's bat). RNAcentral's name for it is "U4 spliceosomal RNA". It matches the Rfam family "U4 spliceosomal RNA". Rfam says of the family: U4 small nuclear RNA (U4 snRNA) is a component of the major U2-dependent spliceosome. The structure of U4 snRNA from yeast and human has been reported. U4 snRNA presents a k-turn RNA motif in the 5p-SL related to recognition of Snu13 protein. The record is from Rfam by way of RNAcentral. Lineage: Eukaryota; Metazoa; Chordata; Mammalia; Chiroptera; Vespertilionidae.
AACUUUGCGCAGUGGCAGUAUCGUAGCCAAUGAGGUUUAUCUGAGGCACGAUUAUUGCUAAUAUAAAAACAAUAACCAUCAAACCCAAAUGUGGGGCAGUCUAUAAAACAGCCACCAAUAAUCCUGAAAACUGUCAAGGUUAUAAAAAAG